RNAcentral lists this long non-coding RNA (809 nucleotides) under Sarcophilus harrisii (Tasmanian devil). RNAcentral's name for it is "lncRNA (ENSSHAG00000031127.1)". The record is from RNAcentral. Lineage: Eukaryota; Metazoa; Chordata; Mammalia; Dasyuromorphia; Dasyuridae.
CACCCUCUCAUUCUAAUGAGAAAACCCUUUGAUAGCAUCACGCCCCCCUCUCUCCUUUAGCUCUUGGACAUCUGUGCUUCAUCCUAUCCACACCCCUGGCCCUGCUCUGGCUUUUCUAGCAGUUCACUCCCACCUGCUCCCUCUCUGCAGUCUUCUUAUCCCAGGCAUUCUCCCAAUCUCCGGGUUCCUCCCUUGUUGCCUUUAAACCUGCUCGUUUGCGCCCAAUUGUACAACAAGGUGAAUAACUUCUGGGUUUCCUCCCAACUCCGACUUCCUGCGCUUCUCUGACCCUUGUCCAAGCACAGGAAGGGGGAGACUAUCCGAGGGAUGCUUCUUCCUUACCUCCACGCUCUUAAAGAAAUACUGGAAUGGUUUCUCAUUUCCUUCUCCAGCCCAUUUUUACAGAUGAGGAAACUGAGGCAGACAGAGUGAAGUGACUUGUCCAGGAUCCCAAGCUGAUCCAGUGGACCAUGGCCUCCCAGCUGUUUUACAAACAAGACGCUCUAUCCCUCAGCUCUGGGCAUUUCUCUGAUUGUCCCCCAGGCCUGGAAUAUUCUUUCCUUCUCAUCUCCAUCUAUUGACAUCCCCCCUUCCUUUAAGACCCAACUAAAACCUUACCUUCUCCAGGAAGCCUUCCCUAACUAUUCUUAAUUCCAGUGCUUUCCUUCUGUUAUUUCCUAUUUAUUCUGUAUCUAGCUUGCUUUGUCUAUAUUUCUUUACAUUGUCUCCCCUAUUAGAUUGUAAACUUUUUGAUGACAGGGAUUGUACUUGGUACAAAAUGGGCACUUAUGUUUACUGAAGGACAAAUG